AUCCAGCUUACGAGUCAUAACUAAAACGAAACGCGCGUCCUGGAU
Non-coding RNA from Schistosoma margrebowiei, 45 nucleotides. NCBI's taxonomy places the organism in Eukaryota, Metazoa, Platyhelminthes, Trematoda, Strigeidida, Schistosomatidae. The record is from Rfam.